RNAcentral lists this ribosomal RNA (115 nucleotides) under Nannospalax galili (Upper Galilee mountains blind mole rat). Lineage: Eukaryota; Metazoa; Chordata; Mammalia; Rodentia; Spalacidae. The record is from RNAcentral.
GUCUAUAGCCAUGCCACCUUGGAUGUUCUUGACCUCAUCUGAUCUCAUAAGCUAAGCAGGCUCAGGUCUGGAUGGGAGACUGCAUCAAGGCACCUAACUGCCUUCUCCAUAGGCU